UGUGUUUCGAGUACUUUUGGG
RNAcentral lists this non-coding RNA (21 nucleotides) under Caenorhabditis elegans. The record is from RNAcentral. Lineage: Eukaryota; Metazoa; Nematoda; Chromadorea; Rhabditida; Rhabditidae.